RNAcentral lists this ribosomal RNA (302 nucleotides) under uncultured Thermovirga sp. RNAcentral describes it as "bacterial SSU rRNA". It matches the Rfam family "Bacterial small subunit ribosomal RNA", at positions 1082 to 1382 of the family's 1533-position model. Lineage: Bacteria; Thermotogati; Synergistota; Synergistia; Synergistales; Thermovirgaceae. The record is from RNAcentral.
AAGUCCCGCAACGAGCGCAACCCUGCAUCCAGUUGCCAUCGGGCGAGCCGGGCGACUCUGGAGGGACUGCCGGCGACAAGCCGGAGGAAGGUGGGGAUGACGUCAAGUCAUCAUGGCCCUUAUGUCCAGGGCGACACACGUGCUACAAUGGCCGGCACAGCGGGAAGCGGAGGGGCGACCCUGAGCGGAUCCCUUGAAAGCCGGUCCCAGUUCGGAUUGCAGUCUGCAACUCGACCGCAUGAAGUUGGAAUCGCUAGUAAUCGCGGAUCAGCCAAGCCGCGGUGAAUACGUUCCCGGGCCUU